AGUGAACGCUGGCGGUAGGCCUAACACAUGCAAGUCGAACGGCAGCACAGAAAGAGCUUGCUCUUACGGGUGGCGAGUGGCGGACGGGUGAGGAAUACAUCGGAAUCUACUUUUUCGUGGGGGAUAACGUAGGGAAACUUACGCUAAUACCGCAUACGACCUACGGGUGAAAGCAGGGGAUCUUCGGACCUUGCGCGAUUGAAUGAGCCGAUGUCGGAUUAGCUAGUUGGCGGGGUAAAGGCCCACCAAGGCGACGAUCCGUAGCUGGUCUGAGAGGAUGAUCAGCCACACUGGAACUGAGACACGGUCCAGACUCCUACGGGAGGCAGCAGUGGGGAAUAUUGGACAAUGGGCGCAAGCCUGAUCCAGCCAUACCGCGUGGGUGAAGAAGGCCUUCGGGUUGUAAAGCCCCUUUGUUGGGAAAGAAAAGCAGCAGGUUAAUACCCCGCUGUUCUGACGGUACCCAAAGAAUAAGCACCGGCUAACUUCGUG
RNAcentral lists this ribosomal RNA (492 nucleotides) under uncultured bacterium. Its description in RNAcentral is "partial 16S ribosomal RNA". It matches the Rfam family "Bacterial small subunit ribosomal RNA", at positions 29 to 507 of the family's 1533-position model. The record is from RNAcentral.